AGUCUCACCCAGAAAAACUUGAUUGUUUUAUUGAUUACCUGCUUCCCCUGCUGCUGUGUCCAUCCACUGUGAAGGAUUUCAUAAGAAAAAAACAGAAGCCACAAUGUAGCUGCUCACAGAUGGGAGAUGUCCAUCAGCCAACUGAUGAGCCAGAUCAUGGUGCACCUGGCAGCUGUGGAAAGCAUCUGGACAUGCACCCCUAAGGUGGGAGGUGAUGCAUCCAAGUGAUGAGCUGUAAGGCUGGGCCCUG
This 250-nucleotide long non-coding RNA is filed under the name Anas zonorhyncha (Eastern spot-billed duck). RNAcentral describes it as "lncRNA (ENSAZOG00000018292.1)". Lineage: Eukaryota; Metazoa; Chordata; Aves; Anseriformes; Anatidae. The record is from RNAcentral.